CUGGGAUACAACGCAUGUACAAGAAAAUUCUAUUUUCCAGGUCAAAUCGCAAGAUGAAGUUACUCUGCUUGGCGCUCAUUCUUGUUUGGGCUAGAAAAGUCACCCCUCUGCACUGUAGAUGCUCUGGAGCGUAUUGUGACGAUGUCACCCUAGACAAUUGCUACACGAUACAUUCAUGUUUUAAUCAUACCAUUGGAGGAAACGUUACAUAUGGCUGCACCGAAAAAAUUGGUUGGCAAAAGCUUUUUUGUAACAUGCCUCCUGGGAUUUUUACUUUAAAAUGUUGCACAUCUGAAUUCUGUAACAGUAAUGGUUUACCUUCUAAGCCUUAUUUACCAGUUCCAUCAUUGAAAAUAGCUAGCUUGGUCAAGGGCAAAGUUACAGGUUAUAUAAACGAUACUUCUGCCAACAGAGCUAA
Dendronephthya gigantea is the source of this 418-nucleotide long non-coding RNA. RefSeq lists it as uncharacterized. The transcript has 3 exons. The record is from RefSeq and is a predicted model, not a curated record. Lineage: Eukaryota; Metazoa; Cnidaria; Anthozoa; Malacalcyonacea; Nephtheidae.